RNAcentral lists this ribosomal RNA (253 nucleotides) under uncultured bacterium. RNAcentral's name for it is "partial 16S ribosomal RNA". It matches the Rfam family "Bacterial small subunit ribosomal RNA", at positions 524 to 776 of the family's 1533-position model. The record is from RNAcentral.
UACGUAGGGGGCAAGCGUUGUCCGGAUUUAUUGGGCGUAAAGAGCGUGUAGGCGGCUUUACAGGUCCGUUGUGAAAACUCGAGGCUCAACCUCGAGACGCCGGUGGAAACCGUAAAGCUAGAGUCCGGAAGAGGAGAGUGGAAUUCCUGGUGUAGCGGUGAAAUGCGCAGAUAUCGGGAGGAACACCUAUGGCGAAGGCAGCUCGCUGGGACGUUACUGACGCUGAGACGCGAAAGCGUGGGGAGCAAACAGG